This is a small nuclear RNA of Ursus americanus (American black bear), 109 nucleotides long. The record is from Ensembl. Lineage: Eukaryota; Metazoa; Chordata; Mammalia; Carnivora; Ursidae.
AUGCUUGCUUCGGGGUCACAUACACCAAAAUUGGGGAGCCAUGCGGACAAGACAAGCGUGGCCCCUGAGCAAAGAUGACAUGCAAAUUUGUGAAGCAUUCCAUAGUUUU